CGGCCGCGGUAUCCUGACCGUGCAAAGGUAGCAUAAUCACUUGUUCCUUAAUUAGGGACUAGCAUGAAUGGCCAAACGAGGAUUCAACUGUCUCUUAUUUUCAANUCAGUGAAAUUGACCUUUCAGUGAAGAGGCUGAAAUACUAAAAUAAGACGAGAAGACCCUAUGGAGCUUAAAUUAAAAGUUUAAUUUUACUUCCACCAGCCUAAUGGUACAACACAAAAAUUUUAAACUCUAAAUUUCGGUUGGGGUGACCUCGGAGAACAAAAAAUCCUCCGAAUGAUUUUAACAUAGACCAACAAGUCAAAGUAACCUAAAAAUCUAAUUGACCCAAAAAUNUUUGAUCAACGGACCAAGUUACCCUAGGGAUAACAGCGCAAUCCUAUUUUAGAGUCCAUAUCGACAAUAGGGUUUACGACCUCGAUGUUGGAUCAGGACAUCCCAAUGGCGCA
RNAcentral lists this ribosomal RNA (452 nucleotides) under Melomys capensis (Cape York Melomys). RNAcentral describes it as "partial 16S ribosomal RNA". It matches the Rfam family "Bacterial large subunit ribosomal RNA", at positions 1928 to 2557 of the family's 2925-position model. Lineage: Eukaryota; Metazoa; Chordata; Mammalia; Rodentia; Muridae. The record is from RNAcentral.